This 460-nucleotide ribosomal RNA is filed under the name uncultured bacterium. RNAcentral describes it as "partial 16S ribosomal RNA". It matches the Rfam family "Bacterial small subunit ribosomal RNA", at positions 338 to 795 of the family's 1533-position model. The record is from RNAcentral.
CCUACGGGUGGCAGCAGUGAGGAAUAUUGGUCAAUGGGCGCAGGCCUGAACCAGCCAAGUCGCGUGAGGGAAGACUGCCCUAUGGGUUGUAAAUUUCUUUUAGAAGGGAAGAAUAAUGACUAUGUGUAUUCAGAUGCCCGUACCUUACUAAUAAGCAUCGGCUAACGCCGUGCCAGCAGCCGCGGUAAUACGGAGGGUGCGAGCGUUAAUCGGAGUUACUGGGCGUAAAGCGCUCGUAGGCGGUAUGCCAAGUCAAGGGUGAAAUCCCUGCGCUCAACGUGGGAACUGCCUUUGAAACUGGCAAACUGGAGUGUGUGAGAGGAUAGUGGAAUUCCAGGUGUAGGAGUGAAAUCCGUAGAUAUCUGGAGGAACAUCAGUGGCGAAGGCGACUAUCUGGAACAUAACUGACGCUGAGGAGCGAAAGCGUGGGUAGCAAACAGGAUUAGAUACCCGUGUAGUC